AUUGAACGCUGGCGGAAUGCUUUACACAUGCAAGUCGAACGGUAGAGGGGGCAACCCCUUGAGAGUGGCGAACGGGUGAGUAAUAUAUCGGAACGUGCCCAGUCGUGGGGAUAACGUAGCGAAAGUUACGCUAAUACCGCAUACGAUCUACGGAUGAAAGCGGGGGACUCGCAAGAGCCUCGCGCGAUUGGAGCGGCCGAUAUCAGAUUAGGUAGUUGGUGGGGUAAAGGCUCACCAAGCCAACGAUCUGUAGCUGGUCUGAGAGGACGACCAGCCACACUGGAACUGAGACACGGUCCAGACUCCUACGGGAGGCAGCAGUAAGGAAUAUUGGUCAAUGGACGAAAGUCUGAACCAGCCAUGCCGCGUGAAGGAUUAAAGGUCCUCUGGAUUGUAAACUUCUUUAUAUGGGACGAAAAAAGGCCUUUCUAGAUCACUUGACGGUACCAUAUGAAUAAGCACCGGCUAACUCCGUGCCAGCAGCCGCGGUAAAGUCAGUG
This 500-nucleotide ribosomal RNA is filed under the name uncultured bacterium. RNAcentral describes it as "bacterial SSU rRNA". It matches the Rfam family "Bacterial small subunit ribosomal RNA", at positions 30 to 530 of the family's 1533-position model. The record is from RNAcentral.